This 421-nucleotide ribosomal RNA is filed under the name uncultured bacterium. RNAcentral's name for it is "bacterial SSU rRNA". It matches the Rfam family "Bacterial small subunit ribosomal RNA", at positions 360 to 773 of the family's 1533-position model. The record is from RNAcentral.
AAUCUUCCACAAUGGGCGAAAGCCUGAUGGAGCAACGCCGCGUGAGUGAUGAAGGCCUUCGGGUUGUAAAACUCUGUCAUUCGGGACGAACCGGAGUCUGAGGAAAUGCAGACUCUCUGACGGUACCGGAGGAGGAAGCCCCGGCUAACUACGUGCCAGCAGCCGCGGUAAUACGUAGGGGGCAAGCGUUGUCCGGAUCCACUGGGCGUAAAGCGCGCGCAGGCGGUGAUGUAAGUCUGAGGUGAAAACCCGAAGCUCAACUUCGGGACUGCCUUGGAUACUGCGUCACUUGAGGAUAGGAGAGGCAAGGGGAAUUCCACGUGUAGCGGUGAAAUGCGUAGAGAUGUGGAGGAACACCUGUGGCGAAGGCGCCUUGCUGGCCUAUUUCUGACGCUGAGGCGCGAAAGCGUGGGGAGCAAAC